GAGCAUUUCCUUGUCUCUAUUCUUCUCAUUCUUCCCCUUGGUUAGAACCCAAUGACUAGUUUUUGUGUAGACCCUUGUAUAGCUCUCCUUUGAGUUAUAAUGUAUCUUUCGAAAUACAUAUAAGGUAUCGUUCUAAACCCAAACGUUACGGAAAAUUCCGUAAUGUCGCCAAACGAGAAUCCAAGUAAGAUUCCUCUUCAUGUCUUUGAUGUAUUUGUCCUUUUAGAAAUUGAUCAAGGUAUAUAAGUACCUUCGGACUCUUAGGUUUAUCGAGUUGGGUGACAUUUCUCGGUUCAUGCAGAGACAUGACGCGUUAAAGGCUCUAAACCUUUUUCGGAGAAAAGAAGGAAGAUGAGACAAUCAGGAUAAGUAGCCCACUUCUCCAAGAAUGGAUUGUAAGUGAUCCAAACUUAUAUAUUUCUCACAAGUUUUAGGUGAUAACGUAUUCUCUAUGAUUAAAAAUGUUUGGUACGUAUAAGCUUGAAGAGGAAGGCUUCCUAAUCGAGUUAUGAUUAAAGAAGAUAAGUUCAAGAGAAGAUAAGCUCAAAUAAUAUUAGGUACAUGCGUUAAAGCAAGAGAAACACCUCUUAAUAUGGCAAUGAAAAACAUGGGAUGAAUCCGAGGCGGAGACUGCAUGCCGCAAAAACAAUAUUCCAAAAUGUUGCGGAUCUGGCUCGUCGUGGUAACGGUCAACCUCGUCGUGGGAAUCGUGUUGGCGCUACUAUUCCUUCCAAGCUCGUGCUUAUAUAUAUAAAUAAAAUAAACCUUCGCUAUGUUCACUUUUUAAAAGGGUUUGAACUAUCUAUACAUACUUUUCUAUAUAUACCAACUAUAAUCAUAAGUCCACGCAUUCAUAGCACAUUUUUAGUAUUGAAACGUGAAAU
RNAcentral lists this small RNA (884 nucleotides) under Arabidopsis thaliana (thale cress). RNAcentral's name for it is "ATSL049430". Lineage: Eukaryota; Viridiplantae; Streptophyta; Magnoliopsida; Brassicales; Brassicaceae. The record is from RNAcentral.